This 253-nucleotide ribosomal RNA is filed under the name uncultured bacterium. RNAcentral's name for it is "partial 16S ribosomal RNA". It matches the Rfam family "Bacterial small subunit ribosomal RNA", at positions 524 to 776 of the family's 1533-position model. The record is from RNAcentral.
UACAGAGGUCUCAAGCGUUGUUCGGAUUCAUUGGGCGUAAAGGGUGCGUAGGCGGCGCGGUAAGUCGGGUGUGAAAUCUUGGAGCUUAACUCCGAAACUGCAUUCGAUACUGCCGUGCUUGAGGACUGGAGAGGAGACUGGAAUUUACGGUGUAGCGGUGAAAUGCGUAGAUAUCGGAAGGAACAUCAGUGGCGAAAGCGGCCCCCUGGUUGGAUACUGACGCUGAGACGCGAAAGCGUGGGGAGCAAACAGG